UUCCAGUAGUUUAGCAACAGUAUUUGUCAGAUGUUUGGAAAUACCAGACAAACAUUGAAUUGCAUGUGCAUAGUCUGACUCUACUUUGCUUGUGCAGUUCAUCUAAAGCAUCCCAAACAUUGAACUAACUGAUGAAAACAAAAAUGUUUGCAGGUGUUUGUUCAAUCCUUUAUUUGACUUGUCUCUUUAAACUAGAAGUUUUCCUUGGCUGUCACUUAUUAUGUGCUUGCAGAACACAGAAUCAUAGAAACACAAGGUCAUAAAGGACCUAUAAGAUCAUCUAGUCCAACCGUUCUGUCACCAGUACUACCCACUAAGUUAUUAGAUCAUAUCUCAUAGCACCUCAUCCAGGCACUUCUUGAACACUGCCAGGGACGGUGACUCCACCACUUCCCUGGGCAGGCUGUUCCAGUGCCUGACCAGUCUUUGAGAGAAAAAAAUGCUUGGUAUCUA
This is a long non-coding RNA of Oxyura jamaicensis (ruddy duck), 453 nucleotides long. RefSeq lists it as uncharacterized. The record is from RefSeq and is a predicted model, not a curated record. NCBI's taxonomy places the organism in Eukaryota, Metazoa, Chordata, Aves, Anseriformes, Anatidae. The transcript has 3 exons.